RNAcentral lists this long non-coding RNA (232 nucleotides) under Ananas comosus (pineapple). RNAcentral's name for it is "long non-coding RNA (ACOM_LNC044747)". Lineage: Eukaryota; Viridiplantae; Streptophyta; Magnoliopsida; Poales; Bromeliaceae. The record is from RNAcentral.
ACAACUAAUAAAUUAGUUAUGAAAUUUCCUUCUCCGUUACUAGCUGCCAGACCCGUUGACUACUAUAUUAUUUUUUAUUUUUUAUUUUUUACCAUCCCUCCAACGCCCUGCUGUCUCAUCCAUAUAGCUUAGUUUAUCUUUUCAAUGAAUGAAACAGAUAGCGUGCUAUUUUUUUCUCAAAAAAAAAAACUUUGCAGAGCAUAUAUAUAAUGAGUUUUAAUUUAUUUUUUUU